AGUUUGAUCAUGGCUCAGAUUGAACGCUGGCGGCAUGCCUUACACAUGCAAGUCGAACGGCAGCACGGGAGCUUGCUCCUGGUGGCGAGUGGCGAACGGGUGAGUAAUGCAUCGGAACGUGCCCUGAAGUGGGGAUAACGUAGCGAAAGUUACGCUAAUACCGCAUAUUCUGUGAGCAGGAAAGCAGGGGAUCUUCGGACCUUGCGCUUUUGGAGCGGCCGAUGUCGGAUUAGCUAGUUGGUGGGGUAAAGGCCCACCAAGGCGACGAUCCGUAGCGGGUCUGAGAGGAUGAUCCGCCACACUGGAACUGAGACACGGUCCAGACUCCUACGGGAGGCAGCAGUGGGGAAUUUUGGACAAUGGGCGCAAGCCUGAUCCAGCCAUGCCGCGUGAGUGAAGAAGGCCUUCGGGUUGUAAAGCUCUUUCGGCGGGGAAGAAAUUGCUUGGGUUAAUACCCUGAGUAGAUGACGGUACCCGCAUAAGAAGCACCGGCUAACUACGUG
This 503-nucleotide ribosomal RNA is filed under the name uncultured bacterium. RNAcentral describes it as "bacterial SSU rRNA". It matches the Rfam family "Bacterial small subunit ribosomal RNA", at positions 10 to 507 of the family's 1533-position model. The record is from RNAcentral.